RNAcentral lists this long non-coding RNA (452 nucleotides) under Cricetulus griseus (Chinese hamster). Its description in RNAcentral is "lncRNA (ENSCGRG00015035360.1)". Lineage: Eukaryota; Metazoa; Chordata; Mammalia; Rodentia; Cricetidae. The record is from RNAcentral.
AGUUCAACAGAGAAGACAAGAGCUGGUCAGUCCAAUGGUGCGGCACAAGCAAAUGGGUUAUAGUAAGUGAGAACACGGUCUCUGACGGUGGAAUUAGUGCGGAGUGACUGUCUGCAUCCUGCAUCUCUUGUCCGUGCAUCCUGAAGUUGCUAGCAAAGGCAGGAAUGAAAAAUGUAGCCCUCGUCUGUGGUUGACACAUGAUUAUUAGAUUCCUCAGGAUUUCUUGAAUUUGUUUUGCAACUGACAUAACACAAAUGGCUCGGGCACUUUUUGAACCAAGGAAGCAAUUUCAAAAUCUGAUAUCACAGGAGAAGGAAAACAAAUCGGCCCUGUCUGUGAGUAUACAGUGGGCCUAAAAAUACACUGCUGCAAUUUCAUGGCUGACCUGUGCUGUAAUUGACUCCCGGUGGUUCACUUAUUGAAAUUUUAAUUCUUGGGCAUCUACAUUUAGC